GCCUGCCGGCCGCGGUAUUCUGACCGUGCGAAGGUAGCAUAAUCAUUAGUCUCUUGAUUAGAGGCUGGUAUGAACGGCUAAACGAGAAAAGAGCUGUCUUUGAAAUUCAUUUCUAAGUGAAAAAGCUUAAAUAAUUCUGAAGGACGAUAAGACCCUAUAGAGCUUUUUUGUUGGGGCGACAAUUUUAGAUCCUUUACGAAAGAUCAAAAGAACAAGUUACCUUAGGGAUAACAGCGUAAUCUUUUCCGAGAGUUCAUAUCGACGAAAAGGUUUGCGACCUCGAUGUUGGAUUAAGAAAUUAUCUAGGUGCAGCCGCUUAGACAAAAGGUCUGUUCGACCUUUAAAUUCUU
Molecule: ribosomal RNA, 350 nt
Filed under: Caenestheriella sp. JRdW-2005
Lineage: Eukaryota; Metazoa; Arthropoda; Branchiopoda; Diplostraca; Cyzicidae
Description: partial 16S ribosomal RNA
Rfam family: Bacterial large subunit ribosomal RNA
Source: RNAcentral